This 224-nucleotide unclassified non-coding RNA is filed under the name Hevea brasiliensis (rubber tree). The record is from RNAcentral. Lineage: Eukaryota; Viridiplantae; Streptophyta; Magnoliopsida; Malpighiales; Euphorbiaceae.
GCAUUAAAAGCUUUACGGAUGUUGCAGUUAGACCCUUCUUAUCUUAAAUAUUAACAGCUUCUUCACCAAUACGAUCUGCACGAAGCUACAGAGGAAAAACUAAAAAAAAAACAAAAUAAAGAUAUAAAUUCAUAUAGGGAUGGGAAAAGAACUGACAAAUCAAUUUGUCAAAGAGUGAGCAUAAAACAUCUAAAUUUUUGUCCUCUGAUUUGGAUUAACCUUUG